Molecule: long non-coding RNA, 2782 nt
Filed under: Arabidopsis lyrata
Lineage: Eukaryota; Viridiplantae; Streptophyta; Magnoliopsida; Brassicales; Brassicaceae
Description: long non-coding RNA (ALYR_LNC002216)
Source: RNAcentral
CGGGAUACUUCAGGCUGUACCGCAUGUGAUAGCGCUGUUUAUAGUGCCAAUUCAUUUCACAACCCAUAUAGGUCUUUUGUUCAUGGAAGCGAUAUGGACAGCGAACAUCCAUGACUGCAUCCACGGCAACAUCUGGCCUGUAAUGGGUGCAGGAUACCAUACGAUACACCACACAACAUACAAGCAUAACUAUGGUCAUUAUACCAUAUGGAUGGAUUGGAUGUUCGGCUCCCUUAAGGAUCCUCUUUUAGAAGAAGAUGGCAACAAAGAUAGCUCCAAGAAAGCUGAGUGAGAAUGCCCACUUGUUUUUUUUUUUUAUAUUGCCGUCUUUUGUUCUGCUUGCUUGUUGUGGUCCUUUCUUGUUCGUUUUCUUCUUCAUGUGUCUCUCACAACCUUUCCAAUUAGUUUGUUACAAACAUUUGCUGUGUAGUUUAAAACAUGUAAAUGUUUGAUUUUUGCAAGACUCCAUUUUUGUUAAGGUAAACCUUGAAACAAAGAUUUUGACUUUUCUGUCAAUCUUGCGCCACCAGUUGUGUGGAUUUGUGGGGGCAUUGCGAAUAAUAUAUCUUCGUCAAAUAUCAAAAUUCGGCCUGGCCCAAUAUAUAGCUGGGCCAGUAGACCCGCUAUUGAUGAGUAACUUGUCCUUUUCUUGUUGAACAAGUCAACAAGCAAAACACACUCUCUCCAUUUGCCGGUAUGUCAAGCUAUGUUCUCAAUCUAACUUCAAGAAUGUUGUAUCAAUAGUGACUUCUUUACUUAAAACGUUUUUUCGGUUUUCCAGGGCUCACAUUCCAUCCGCUGGGCGGGAUACUUCAGGCUGUACCGCAUAUGAUAGAGCUGUGUAUAGUGCUGAUUCAUCUCAUAACACAUCUGAGUCUUUAGUUUUUUGGAAGGGAUAUGGACAGCAAGCAUCCGUGGUAAAAUUUGGCCUAUAAUGGUGCAGGAUACCAUACACCAUACGACAUACAAGCAUAACUAUGGUCAUUAUACCAUAUGGAUGGAUUGGAUGUUUGGCUCCCUUAGGGCUCUUUUAGCAGAAGAAGAAAGAACAGUGAGAAUAUUCCAUGCUCACAUUGUUCUCCUGACUCUUAACAUUUUCUAAUCACUUUGUUAUUCCAUGCUCACAUUGUUCUCCUGACUCUUAACCUUUUCUAAUCACUUUGUUGGAAUUAAGUAAAAAAGCAAAUCAUUUUAAUACUGUAAGUUUGUUUUAUCUGAAAAGGUUGUAGCUAUAAAUCACUCUCUCUACCACAACCAUUUUCAGUAACGCUUAAGCACAGUUUAACUUUUCUCGGCGGUUUCAUGGCGGCGACUAGUGCAGAUUAUAAUCAGUUCGUCAAUGAGACCUCUUUUUACAACCGUAUGGUUCUGAGUCACCUUUUGCCGGCGAGUCUAUGGGAACCUUUACCACAUUUCCUUCAGACAUGGCUCAGGAACUACCUCGCCGUAAACAUACUCUAAUUCACCUCCGGCUUCCUCUGGUGCUUCUACAUCUAUUACCUUAAACCCAACGUUUACGUCCCCAAAGGUGCUUUUCUUGUUUUUCUUUCAAUUUACGAUAUUCUGUUUUUUAAAAGCACGUAAAUUUAGUUAUUUCUCAACUUUGAAUCUAUUCUAACGAUUUGGCUAAUUUACAUUUUUAAGUUGAAUUUUUGAUCUCUGGAUGAGGUUUGAACUCAAAAUGUACGUUGAAAUUGAAAAAUUGUGCUUUCAAGUUCUGUUUCUUGUGGGGUUUCUUCUAUUUUGUGUUCAGAUUCUAUCCCUACAAGAAAGGCAAUGAUUCUGCAAAUAUCUGUGGCAAUGAAGGCUAUGCCUUAGCACAGUCUUCUUCCAGCUGUAUCUGAGUAUAUGAUCGAGCAUGGUUGGACCCAAUGUUACUCUACAAUUGACCAUUUCAACUGGUUCCACUGUAUCCUCUACAUAACUCUCUAUCUUGCUUUAGUUGAGUUUGGGGUUUAUUGGAUUCACAAAGAGCUUCAUGACAAUAAAUUUCUCUAUAAGCAUCUCCAUGCGACCCGUCACAUCUACAACAAGCAAAACACAAUCUCUCCAUUUGCUGGUAUGUCAAGUUAUGUUCUCAAUCUAUAUUUAAGAUUAUGCUGAGUAUCAAUAGUGACUUGUUUACUUAAAACGUUUUUUCGGUUUUCCAGGGUUCGCAUUCCAUCCGUUGGACGGGAUAAUUCAGUCUUUACCGCAUGUGAUAGCGCUGUUUAUAGUGCCGAUUCAUCUCAUAACACAUCUGUGCCUUUUGUCUUCGGAAGGGAUAUGGACAGCAAACAUCCAUGACUGCAUCCACGGCAACAUCUGGCCAGUAAUGGGUGCAGGAUACCAUACGAUACACCACACCACAUACAAGCAUAACUAUGGCCACAAAACCAUAUUGAUGGAUUGGAUGUUUGGCUCUCUUAAGGCUUCUUUAGCAGAAGAAGACAGUUUCAAGGAGAAAGCAAAGUGAGAAUGUUCAAUGCUCAGUUGCUCACAUCACAUGUCUCUUCUUCAUAUGUUGUUCUUCUCGUGACUCAUCUUAAACCUUUGUAAUCACCUUGUUGGAAAUAAAUAAAUAUAUGUUGGAAUCACUCUUAAACCUCUUUCUUGUUCAACAAGUCACCUGGGUGUGAUCAUAUCGCAUACUUGAGAGUUGAGGCUAAUGAUAGUAAAACGCAAUUUAACCCGCUUAAAGUUUAAUCGUAUUCAAAGGAUUGGCCACAUAGACUUGAAAUAAUCCAUCACAAACCCUCCAUACCAAAAAUUCCUUAAAAAAUAGCAAAUCAUUUAAAUAUUG